RNAcentral lists this transfer RNA (71 nucleotides) under Cordylochernes scorpioides. RNAcentral's name for it is "tRNA-Gly". Lineage: Eukaryota; Metazoa; Arthropoda; Arachnida; Pseudoscorpiones; Chernetidae. The record is from RNAcentral.
UGCAUCGCCCAGGAAUCGAACCCGGGCCGCCCGCGUGGCAGGCGAGCAUUCUACCACUGAACCACCGAUGG